RNAcentral lists this ribosomal RNA (435 nucleotides) under Ancylotrypa sp. MY502. RNAcentral's name for it is "partial 16S ribosomal RNA". It matches the Rfam family "Archaeal large subunit ribosomal RNA", at positions 1957 to 2671 of the family's 2987-position model. The record is from RNAcentral. Lineage: Eukaryota; Metazoa; Arthropoda; Arachnida; Araneae; Cyrtaucheniidae.
CUUUAAUAGAAAAUAAUUAUUAGUAAAAUUUGCUCAAUGAUAUUUAAAUAGCCGCAGAUUUUUCUGUGCUAAGGUAGCAUAAUCAUUUGCCUAUUAAUUAUAGGCUAGAAUGAAAGAUUUAACAUGAAAAAUUCUAUACUCAUUCUCACUUACUUUAAAUUCCCUUAUUAGUAAAAAAGCUAAUAUUAAAUAGGGGGACGACAAGCCCCUGUCGAACUUCACUUCUAGUUAACUGGGGCGGUAAAAAACUAUUUYUUUUUAUACAUUUACAUCAAAACUUAUAUAUUAAAUUAAACAAGUUACCGCAGGGAUAACAGCAUAAUUCUUUUCCAAAGACCUUAUAAAAAAAAGAGAUUGUGACCUCGAUGUUGAAUAUUUUCCCUUUUAAGAGCAAAUUCUUAAAAAGGAAGUCUGUUCGACUUUUAAAAAUUUACA